This 622-nucleotide ribosomal RNA is filed under the name uncultured bacterium. RNAcentral's name for it is "bacterial SSU rRNA". It matches the Rfam family "Bacterial small subunit ribosomal RNA", at positions 31 to 646 of the family's 1533-position model. The record is from RNAcentral.
AAACGCUGGCGGCAUGCUAAUACACGCAGUCGAACGCUCUCGAUUUCGGAUCAAUGAGAGAGUGGCGAACGGGUGAGUACACGUAAGAAACCUGCCCUUAAGUCGAGGAUAACUAUUGGAAACGAUAGCUAAUACUGGAUAGGACAUAAAACCGCAUGGUUUAAUGUUUAAAGAUGCGUAUGCAUCACUUUAGGAGGGUCCUGCUCCGUAUUAGAUAGUUGGUGAGGUAGUGGCUCACCAAGUCAACGAUGCGUAGCCGAGCUGAGAGGCUGAUCGGCCACACUGGGACUGAGACACGGCCCAGACUCCUACGGGAGGCAGCAGUUAGGAAUAUUCGGCAAUGGGGGCAACCCUGACCGAGCAAUGCCGCGUGAACGAAGAAGUAUUUCGAUAUGUAAAGUUCUGUUGUUGAGGAAGAACUGUAGUGAUAGGAAAUGAUCAUUAUUUGACGGUACUCAACCAGAAAGGUCCGGCUAACUACGUGCCAGCAGCCGCGGUAAUACGUAGGGACCAAGCGUUAUCCGGAAUUAUUGGGCGUAAAGGGUUCGUAGGCGGACCAUCAAGUCCGAGUUGAAACCCACGGCUUAACCGUGGAGGGUGCUCGGAAACUGUUGGUCUUGAA